Molecule: small nucleolar RNA, 68 nt
Organism: Lethenteron reissneri (Far Eastern brook lamprey)
Lineage: Eukaryota; Metazoa; Chordata; Hyperoartia; Petromyzontiformes; Petromyzontidae
Source: RefSeq, a predicted model, not a curated record
UCGUGCUGAUGAGGACUUUUGCGACCGAAUCUCCGUGUGGAUUCUCGAGCUUUUUAACCCUGAGCGAC